GACGAACGCUGUCGGUGUGCCUAACACAUGCAAGUUGAACGCUCUAGUUUGGUCCUUGUACCAUCUGUUAGUGCCGCGCGCGUGUGUGUCACGCGUGGAUCUUCCCCCUUUUACCGGUUAACUUCUUGUAGUAACAGCUACUACCAUCUCUUAUCAACUUUAAACACAUUUUUGACUGAUGAAUGAUCCCAUGUCAGAUCACAUAGGUGGUGAGGUAACGUAUUAGCAAGCUGACGAUCUGUAGCUGGACUGAGAGGAUGAUCAGCAACACUGGGACUGAGACACGGCCGAGACUCAUACGGGAGGAAGAAGUGGGGAAUAUUGGACAAUGGGCGAAAGACUGAGCCAGCAAUACCGAGUGAGUGAUAAAGGAGAUAGGGUUGUAAAGCUGUUUUAGCAAGGAAGAUAAUGACGGUACUUGCAGAAAAAGCCCCGGCUAACUCCGUG
This 447-nucleotide ribosomal RNA is filed under the name uncultured bacterium. RNAcentral's name for it is "partial 16S ribosomal RNA". It matches the Rfam family "Bacterial small subunit ribosomal RNA", at positions 28 to 507 of the family's 1533-position model. The record is from RNAcentral.